AUCCUUCUUAAAAGCACUUGCUUUGUCUGCUCAGUGGCUGGGUGAGUCGUCAAUGAAGGAAUAAUAAAUCCCAUUGCUUAUGGGUGAGAUGGCAGUCGCCAUGUGCUGGUAAAUCUCAAUCCGUGAUGGAACAAAU
RNAcentral lists this small nucleolar RNA (136 nucleotides) under Sinocyclocheilus anshuiensis. The record is from RNAcentral. Lineage: Eukaryota; Metazoa; Chordata; Actinopteri; Cypriniformes; Cyprinidae.